UACGGAGGGUGCAAGCGUUAUCCGGAUUCACUGGGUUUAAAGGGUGCGUAGGCGGGCAGGGAAGUCAGAGGUGAAAUCUCCGAGCUUAACUCGGAACCUGCCCUUGAUACUCUCUGUCUUGAAUAUGGUGGAGGUAAGCGGAAUAUGUCAUGUAGCGGUGAAAUGCUUAGAGAUGACAUAGAACACCUAUUGCGAAGGCAGCUUACUACGCCUAUAUUGACGCUGAGGCACGAAAGCGUGGGGAUCAAACAGG
RNAcentral lists this ribosomal RNA (253 nucleotides) under uncultured bacterium. RNAcentral describes it as "partial 16S ribosomal RNA". It matches the Rfam family "Bacterial small subunit ribosomal RNA", at positions 524 to 776 of the family's 1533-position model. The record is from RNAcentral.